AUAAAAAGAAUAAGGGCGACCGCUUGGUCGCCCUUGUAUUUGCUUCGAUAUUACGUUUUUGGUUUGGCCGCCGAUCAGUAAUAUCAGCAAUAUUGGCGUUACGCAUAGCUGGCUGUUAGCUUUGUUCCUUACUAUGAAAAUCACUAACAGUUUUUGUAACCAUUGCCUGAGUUUUAGCUCGGGCAUUUUUAU
Molecule: small RNA, 192 nt
Filed under: Vibrio rotiferianus
Lineage: Bacteria; Pseudomonadati; Pseudomonadota; Gammaproteobacteria; Vibrionales; Vibrionaceae
Description: MicX
Rfam family: MicX Vibrio cholerae sRNA
Source: RNAcentral